GCCGCCGCCACUCUCUUCAUCGGGAUCCUCCCAUAUCCAUCCACCCUUUGCCAGCCGAUCCUGACCAACUCCCUCUUUUUCAGCACCGGUCCAACCUCCUCCUCUCGAGAGCCCCGACCAGAGCACCACCAAGCAGAGCAUCGGCCAACCCCCAAGCGCCGCCCUCACCCAACCAGCUCUCAGCCGCCUCCCCUUCCCUGCUCCCGUGCGUGUCCAGCACCAAAGGAGAGGUGCUCCUCGAGCCCUCGAUCCAGCGCGCAGGUGCCUGAGCGCCUCCUCACCUCGUCCCCGCACCGCUCGUCGGAAGAUCCACCAGGUCUCCUGCCUCGCCGGAGGUCGACUAUGGUCGCCCAGGCCAGGAGUAACCCUGGCUGCCAGGGCUCGAACUCACGCCGCCGGCGUCCUGCGCACCCCGUGCUCCGUUCCUCGCACCAUCGCUCGGAUCUGGCGACCCUGCCCCGGAUCCACCCAUCCCUGGCCUCGCCGCAUGACGCCAUGCCCUCGCCUUGCCGGAGUUCCAGCCAGCGCACCUCCAGGGCCUUGCCUCGCCGCGGCUCCCGCUGAACCUCCCCGCCGCUUGCGUUUUUCUUCAGAGACGAGCAGUGUAGCUCGCCCGAUGCCUGUUGACGCGUCGCCCUCCCAUGUGGGCUGCCACAUCGCCUGCAGGCCUCCCAGCGCUCAAGGCCCAUCUGAGAUCCAGCAAGGCCCAGCUCCCUUGGCCCAUGGUGAGGCGCCUCCAGCAGCGCCUCGUUUGUUUUGUUUUUUCUUCUUCUACUCAUUUGGCCCAACUUGCACCAGAUUUGGCCCAUAGAUGUUUUUUUAGUUCUGUGAAUUUACUAAUUUUCCU
This is a long non-coding RNA of Triticum dicoccoides, 847 nucleotides long. RefSeq lists it as uncharacterized. Lineage: Eukaryota; Viridiplantae; Streptophyta; Magnoliopsida; Poales; Poaceae. The record is from RefSeq and is a predicted model, not a curated record. The transcript is spliced from 2 exons.